UACGUAGGGUGCAAGCGUUGUCCGGAAUUAUUGGGCGUAAAGAGCUCGUAGGCGGUCUGUCGCGUCGGCUGUGAAAUCCCGAGGCUCAACCUCGGGUCUGCAGUCGAUACGGGCAAACUAGAGUAUUGCAGGGGAGACUGGAAUUCCUGGUGUAGCGGUGAAAUGCGCAGAUAUCAGGAGGAACACCGGUGGCGAAGGCGGGUCUCUGGGCCGAUACUGACGCUGAGGAGCGAAAGCGUGGGGGAGCAAACAGG
RNAcentral lists this ribosomal RNA (254 nucleotides) under uncultured bacterium. Its description in RNAcentral is "partial 16S ribosomal RNA". It matches the Rfam family "Bacterial small subunit ribosomal RNA", at positions 524 to 776 of the family's 1533-position model. The record is from RNAcentral.